AUUGAACGCUGGCGGCAGGCCUAACACAUGCAAGUCGAACGAGUGGCGGACGGGUGAGUAAUGUCUGGGAAACUGCCCGAUGGAGGGGGAUAACUACUGGAAACGGUAGCUAAUACCGCAUACCAUCGGAUGUGCCCAGAUGGGAUUAGAUAGUAGGUGGGGUAACGGAUAACCAAGGCGACGAUCCCUAUCUGGUCUGAGAGGAUGACAAUCCACACUGGAACGGAGACACGGUCCAGACUCCUACGGGAGGCAGCAGUUGGGAAUAUUGCACAAUGGGCGCAAGCCUGAUGCAGCAAUGCCGCGUGUAUGAAGAAGGCCUUCGGGUUGUAAAGUACUUUCAGCGGGGAGGCGUUACCCGCAGAAGAAGCACCGGCUAACUCCGUGCCAGCAGCCGCGGUAAUAC
RNAcentral lists this ribosomal RNA (406 nucleotides) under uncultured bacterium. RNAcentral describes it as "partial 16S ribosomal RNA". It matches the Rfam family "Bacterial small subunit ribosomal RNA", at positions 30 to 526 of the family's 1533-position model. The record is from RNAcentral.